AGCACCAAGGAGGUUCGCAGCUCGUAAGUGUGGGUUCUGGGGCUGUGGGGGUGGCCCAGGGCAGCAAGACCCUACCUAUCCUGACCUGCUCUGUCCUCUAGAAUCCGCCAGGUGUCUGACGUACAGAAGCGUGUGCAAGUGGAUGUCAAGAUGGCCAUCCUGCAGAUCAUGAAGGAGCUGAAUAAGCGGGGCCGUGUGCUGGUCAACGAUGCCCAGAAGGUGACUGAGGGGCAGCAGGAGCGCCUGGAGCGGCAGCACUGGACCAUGACCAAGAUCCAGAAGCACCAGGAGCACAUUCUGCGCUUUGCCUCUUGGGCUCUGGAGAGUGACAACAACACAGCCCUUUUGCUUUCUAAGAAGUUGAUCUACUUCCAGCUGCACCGGGCCCUCAAGAUGAUUGUGGAUCCCGUGGAGCCACAUGGCGAGAUGAAGUUUCAGUGGGACCUCAAUGCCUGGACCAAGAGUGCUGAGGCCUUUGGUGGGUCCCCAGCUUUACCUCACUCUGUUAUUACCCCACGUGCUGCACCUACUUACGUUUCUCUCUUCUUUGUGCAGGCAAGAUUGUGGCAGAGCGUCCUGGCACUAACUCAACAGGCCCUGCACCCAUGGCCCCUCCAAGAGCCCCAGGGCCCCUGAGCAAGCAGGGCUCUGGCAGCAGCCAGCCCAUGGAGGUGCAGGAAGGCUAUGGCUUUGGGUCAGGUGAGUGGGUCUGCCUAGUGGGUGGGGAAGGGCCCCAGUGCUGUUUCUACCCCAACCUGCCAGUCUUCUUUCUCCAUUUUCUAAGGAGAUGAUCCCUACUCAAGUGCAGAGCCCCAUGUGUCAGGUGUGAAACGGUAAGUAUGGCACCUCCCCUGGGGGUGGAGGUGGAUGGAGGGUGGGGGUGUACUCAUGCCAGGUUGCUGCAUCUACAGGUCCCGCUCAGGUGAGGGCGAGGUGAGCGGCCUUAUGCGCAAGGUGCCACGAGUGAGCCUUGAACGCCUGGACCUGGACCUCACAGCUGACAGCCAGCCACCCGUCUUCAAGGUCUUCCCAGGCAGUACCACUGAGGACUACAACCUUAUUGUUAUUGAACGUGGCGCUGCCGCUGCAGCUACCGGCCAGCCAGGGACUGCGCCUGCAGGAACCCCUGGUGCCCCACCCCUGGCUGG
Molecule: small RNA, 1148 nt
Filed under: Pan troglodytes (chimpanzee)
Lineage: Eukaryota; Metazoa; Chordata; Mammalia; Primates; Hominidae
Description: retained intron
Source: RNAcentral